Molecule: transfer RNA, 75 nt
Filed under: Flavobacteriaceae bacterium
Lineage: Bacteria; Pseudomonadati; Bacteroidota; Flavobacteriia; Flavobacteriales; Flavobacteriaceae
Description: tRNA-Gln
Rfam family: tRNA
About the family: Transfer RNA (tRNA) molecules are approximately 80 nucleotides in length.
Source: RNAcentral
UGCCCGUUGGUGUAACUGGUAACACGGUUGACUCUGAAUCAGCUAUUCAAGGUUCGAACCCUUGGCGGGCAUCCA